Small nuclear RNA from Peromyscus eremicus (cactus mouse), 106 nucleotides. The record is from RefSeq and is a predicted model, not a curated record. NCBI's taxonomy places the organism in Eukaryota, Metazoa, Chordata, Mammalia, Rodentia, Cricetidae.
GUCAUUACUUCAGCUGCACAGAUACUGAUGUUGGAGUGAUACAGAGAAGGCUAGCAUGGCCCUGCACAAGGAUGACACACAAAGAUGUGAAAUGUUUUAUACAAUU